Sphingobium sp. Ant17 is the source of this 70-nucleotide non-coding RNA. Lineage: Bacteria; Pseudomonadati; Pseudomonadota; Alphaproteobacteria; Sphingomonadales; Sphingobiaceae. The record is from Rfam.
GAUGCGGGCCGGGCCCCUCUGACGAUCUGGAUUUCCCCCCUUGUCCAUGUCGUGAUGUCGGACCGCAUCG